Molecule: ribosomal RNA, 266 nt
Filed under: uncultured prokaryote
Description: partial 16S ribosomal RNA
Rfam family: Bacterial small subunit ribosomal RNA
Source: RNAcentral
CACGUAGGAGGCAAACGUUAUCCGGAUUUACUGGGCGUAAAGAGCUCGUAGGUGGUUUGUCACGUCGUCUGUGAAAUUCCGGGGCUUAACCUCGGGCGUGCAGGCGAUACGGGCAAUACUUGAGUGCUGUAGGGGAGACUGGAAUUCCUGGUGUAGCGGUGAAAUGCGCAGAUAUCAGGAGGAACACCAAUGGCGAAGGCAGGUCUCUGGGCAGUUACUGACGCUGAGGAGCGAAAGCAUGGGUAGCGAACAGGAUUAGAUACCCG